CUCACAGGAAACCCCCAGAGCAUAAAAGUGAUGAUGCAGGGGCAUCAUUGCAGCCCUAGAGAGGAAGAGGAACAUGGCUGAAGACUUGGUUAAAAGAUUAGUCAAAUAUAGGGUUGAAACAGAUCUUUAAAGUGUUCACAGCAAUUCGGCUUUCAUUUGUAAACAAAGAGCAGACAGCUAGGAAGAUGACACCAGCAGCGGCAGGCGGAGACAGGCGGUGUGACACCGUAGCCCUCCGCUCUGCCUGACAUGUGCUGUGUGUCACGCAACCAAACUCAAGUGGAACAUGCACUGUUACAUGUACCAGAUUAUCGGACACGCCUAACAAGUGUGGCGCCAUUCGUAAAGCAACAAAACUGCUUGUCUUGAAAGAAAGUCCAGUGACAGAGACAACCUUGGCCAGUGUUGUGUUCGCUUCCUGACAGGGUGGGGAUUGUGACCAGGAAUUUGUCCAGCUUCCUCUUUGCCUUGGAAAGUGCAUUCCUGGCUGAGUGUGGUGCGUGUGCCUGCUUCUUGUGUGGUGGUGCUGCUGCUGCGUGAAGCCUCUGCCGUGGGAACCCACCACAAAUAGCUAAUGGAUUCUGUAUGACGGGAUCAGCAGCAGACAGAAUUCCAGUGAUGUAUUAACAUGCCUAGGGACAGCCUUGGGGGCAUCCAUUACUGGCAGAAGCCCGAGUGUGCUGAGUGACGGGGCGGCAUGACCUUGCACAUCAGAGGGUCAGGUCAGUGUGUGCAUUGUGCAUAUUGUGCCUUAGUGGCCUGUCAUCUCUCUCUCUCUCUCUCUCUCUCUCUCUCUCUCUCUCUCUCUCUCUCUCUCUCUCUCUCUCUCUCUCUCUCUCUCUCUCUCUCUCUCUCUCUCUCUCUCUCUCUCUCUCUCUCUCUCUCUCUCUCUCUCUCUCUCUCUCUCUCUCUCUCUCUCUCUCACACACACACACACACACACACACACACACACACACACACACACACACACUCUUGAUCAUGUGAAGAUGGAGAUAGAGAUCAAAGAAGAAGUGCCAAAAUUCAAUGAGGAAUAUAAAAAUGAGAGAAAAAAUUAUGCUAAGGCAGACUUUACAGGGUUAAAGAAAUUCUAUGGAGAGCUUGAUUGGAAUAAUUUAUUAAGAGGUAUGGAGG
Scylla paramamosain (green mud crab) is the source of this 1134-nucleotide long non-coding RNA. RefSeq lists it as uncharacterized. NCBI's taxonomy places the organism in Eukaryota, Metazoa, Arthropoda, Malacostraca, Decapoda, Portunidae. The record is from RefSeq and is a predicted model, not a curated record. The transcript is spliced from 3 exons.